This 584-nucleotide ribosomal RNA is filed under the name uncultured fungus. Its description in RNAcentral is "eukaryotic LSU rRNA". The stretch from base 218 to 371 matches the Rfam family "5.8S ribosomal RNA". RNAcentral also lists the same sequence under 1 other name. The record is from RNAcentral. Lineage: Eukaryota; Fungi.
UCUUGGUCAUUUAGAGGAAGUAAAAGUCGUAACAAGGUCUCCGUUGGUGAACCAGCGGAGGGAUCAUUACCGAGUUUACAACUCCCAAACCCCUGUGAACAUACCACUUGUUGCCUCGGCGGAUCAGCCCGCUCCCGGUAAAACGGGACGGCCCGCCAGAGGACCCCUAAACUCUGUUUCUAUAUGUAACUUCUGAGUAAAACCAUAAAUAAAUCAAAACUUUCAACAACGGAUCUCUUGGUUCUGGCAUCGAUGAAGAACGCAGCAAAAUGCGAUAAGUAAUGUGAAUUGCAGAAUUCAGUGAAUCAUCGAAUCUUUGAACGCACAUUGCGCCCGCCAGUAUUCUGGCGGGCAUGCCUGUUCGAGCGUCAUUUCAACCCUCAAGCACAGCUUGGUGUUGGGACUCGCGUUAAUUCGCGUUCCCCAAAUUGAUUGGCGGUCACGUCGAGCUUCCAUAGCGUAGUAGUAAAACCCUCGUUACUGGUAAUCGUCGCGGCCACGCCGUUAAACCCCAACUUCUGAAUGUUGACCUCGGAUCAGGUAGGAAUACCCGCUGAACUUAAGCAUAUCAAUAAGCGGAGGAA